AACGAACGCUGGCGGCGUGCCUAACACAUGCAAGUCGAGCGCGAAAAGGGCAACCUGAGUAGAGCGGCGCACGGGUGCGUAACACGUGGGUAAUCUGCCUUAGAGUCGAGGAUAACCUUCCGAAAGGUUGGCUAAUACUCGGUAAGCUUACGGUGUCUUCGGACGCUGUGGGAAAAGUGGGCCUCUGUUUACAAGCUUACGCUCUGAGAUGAGCCCGCGGCCCAUCAGCUAGUUGGCGGUGUAACGGACCACCAAGGCAACGACGGGUAGCUGGUCUGAAAGGACGAUCAGCCACACUGGAACUGAGACACGGUCCAGACUCCUACGGGAGGCAGCAGUGGGGAAUUUUCCACAAUGGGCGAAAGCCUGAUGGAGCAACGCCGCGUGUGUGAUGAAGGUUUUCGGAUCGUAAAGCACUUUCGACCGGGACGAAAAACCUCUGGCUAACAUCCAGGGGCCUGACGGUACCGGGAGAAGAAGCACCGGCUAACUCUGUGCCAGCCGCCGCCGUAA
Molecule: ribosomal RNA, 513 nt
Filed under: uncultured bacterium
Lineage: Bacteria
Description: partial 16S ribosomal RNA
Rfam family: Bacterial small subunit ribosomal RNA
Source: RNAcentral